Long non-coding RNA from Hibiscus syriacus, 435 nucleotides. RefSeq lists it as uncharacterized. The transcript has 4 exons. NCBI's taxonomy places the organism in Eukaryota, Viridiplantae, Streptophyta, Magnoliopsida, Malvales, Malvaceae. The record is from RefSeq and is a predicted model, not a curated record.
AGUUUUCUCUCUUUUUCUCUUCUUGAAAUCGCAGAGUUGUUUCGCAGCGCUCUCUCUCUCUCUCUCUGUUAUCUUUUUCUAUUUGCAUGGCAUCUCAAGCCAGUUUCCUCCUUCAAAAGCAGCUCAAAGAUCUUUGUUAGCAUCCUGUUGAUGGGUUCUCAGCUGGAUUGGUUGAUGAGAACAAUAUCUUUGAAUGGAGUGUGACAAUUAUUGGACCUCCUGAUACUCUUUAUGAGGGGGGUUUUUCAAUGAUAUCUUGAGUUUUCCACAUAAUUAUCCAAACAGCCCUCCAAAAGUGAAAUUUACACCAGAGAUUUGGCAUCCUAAUGUUUAUCCUGAUGGGCGUGUUUGCAUAUCAAUUCUUCAUCCUCCUGGUGAUGAUCCAAUUGGCUAUGAGCUUGCAAGUGAGCGCUGGAUGCCAGUCCAUACGGGACA